UGCCUACCACUCCCAGCAGCCCCCUCGGCAGGGAAGCCGCUCAUGGCGUCGGAGGGGCACCGCAAGGGCUGCUGGGAGUUGUAGUUCCGGGAAAAGGGCGGGAGAAUGGGCUCCCACAGCAAGGCGCAGCGCGGGGCUGAGGGCACGCCGUGAGAGGAAAAAUCCAGCGUGGGCAUGGUGGGAGAGAAAAAAAUCGUGUCUGCGUCAGUGACAGAGUAGGAACAUUCGCACAGAGUCCAGAAAUUCCUUGUUGUUAGAUUUUUACUGUUGUCACUGCAUCCCCUCACCUCACAAUCCUUCCGGCCCAGAGCCUCUCCAGCAUUGAGGUUCCAUGUGGAGUGACAAACCCAGAAGGCCAGCCGCUGCCGUCAUGAGGAGCACUGCAGGUAGACCGUGCCCAUCGCUUUGGAGAUGGUUUCCAUUCUAGCAUGGAUCCUUCCUUGCCUCUUCGAACACUGGGUGUAGGGUUCUCCUUGGUGUGCAGAGCCAUGCCCAGCUGAAUGGUCCCUCCAGAGGAACCAGGAAUAUGACCACAACUGUGGACAUGAAUAAUUUGGCAGGCUGAGGAACCUAAAUAAGAUUUACAAAGAUUUAAUGCAUUACUCACAUUUGUCUUUAAGAGGUUUUAGUUUUAAAUAGCUUUGAGCUAUAAAUA
This is a long non-coding RNA of Oxyura jamaicensis (ruddy duck), 655 nucleotides long. RefSeq lists it as uncharacterized. NCBI's taxonomy places the organism in Eukaryota, Metazoa, Chordata, Aves, Anseriformes, Anatidae. The record is from RefSeq and is a predicted model, not a curated record. The transcript is spliced from 3 exons.